Molecule: ribosomal RNA, 292 nt
Filed under: uncultured bacterium
Lineage: Bacteria
Description: partial 16S ribosomal RNA
Rfam family: Bacterial small subunit ribosomal RNA
Source: RNAcentral
GUGCCAGCCGCCGCGGUAAUACGGAGGGUGCAAGCAUUGAUCGGAAUUACUGGGCGUAAAGGGCGCGUAGGCGGUACGAUAAGUCAGAUGUGAAAUUCCGGGGCUCAACCCCGGAGCUGCAUUUGAAACUGUCAUACUAGAGUUCAGUUAGGGUAAACGGAAUUCCACGUGUAGCGGUGAAAUGCGUAGAUAUGUGGAAGAACACCGGUGGUGAAGACGGUUUACUGGGCUGAUACUGACGCUGAGGCGCGAAAGCAUGGGGAGCAAACAGGAUUAGAUACCCUGGUAGUCC